GACAUCACAACAGUUUAAUAUGUUAACUUAUUCAUUAAAUUGUGCUUCACAUCAAUGGGAAUUCUCAGUUCUACAAACUAUCAUUUUUAAAUAGCAAUAAAGGUUGAUAAUCUCACAAUACAAUCUCCUAGUACCCGAGUUCAUACAUAGUAUUGCACAGAAACAUAAAGAGAUAUCUUAGGAGAAAUCACUUACUAUCUAUUGGAUAACUAUCUUUACAUCUAAAAUGGGGCACCAGACACAAGUCCAGAUUCUUCUUUCCACCAUUUUCCACUAUGGAUUUGUGAAAUGAAAAAUAAUACAAGCAAAACACAGAAGGUCUUUUUAGGGAGGGAGGUGUGGAGAAGGAAGGAAAAGAAAAGAUGGUCACAUGAUUAAAAAAAUGACAAGCUGGUGGAAAUAAAUGGGACAAUGACUAAAUCAUACUGUCAUUGUCACGACGACCAUGACAAACAGAUGCUGCUCCCUCAGUUUUCCCCAGAAAGAACUGAAGCCUUUCAGCACUGACAUCUGGCCCUUUGAUAAAUUCCCACAAACUACAACAGAACUUGUAACCCACGGAGGCUCCAUUUAAUGUGCCCAAGCAUGACAGCUAUACUUUUGUCCAUAAACGACCUAGAACACAGGCUCAAAAACAUCUGUGCUCCCGUGU
This 652-nucleotide long non-coding RNA is filed under the name Bos taurus (domestic cattle). RNAcentral's name for it is "long non-coding RNA NONBTAT004745". The record is from RNAcentral. Lineage: Eukaryota; Metazoa; Chordata; Mammalia; Artiodactyla; Bovidae.